UAUAUAUUAGUGUAUGAGGCACAUUGAGUUUUGGGUUCUUUAGAUUUAGUUUAAUUCUAAAAUAUAUAA
This 69-nucleotide transfer RNA is filed under the name Ectatops sp. Its description in RNAcentral is "tRNA-Gln". The record is from RNAcentral. Lineage: Eukaryota; Metazoa; Arthropoda; Insecta; Hemiptera; Pyrrhocoridae.